AUUCGGUUUUUUUUUUUGGGGGGGGGGGGUGAGGUACGGGGGGGGGGUAUGGGGGAGGCAUAUUGCACUUACAGUGUUGGUUUGUUCAGCUGAAUUGAUUUUUUUUUAAACCCUUACCCUCCGUCUUGGAGUCAAUACUGGGUAUUGGCUCCAAGGCAGAAGAGUGGUAAGGGCUAGGCAAUGGGGGUCAGGUGACUUGCCCAGGGUCACACAGCUGGGAAGUGUCUGAGUUCAGAUUUUAAUCUAGGACCUCCCAUCUCUAGGCCUGGCUCUCAAUCCACUGAGCUACCCAGCUGCCCCCCUGAAUUGAUUUUUUAAUAAAGAGGCUGAUCAUCCAACUGGGGGUCAUCAAGUAGAAGCCAGUUGGCCCCUUUUACUUGUGGAUAAUCUCACUUUUGAAUGAGUAUGGAUGUUCUGCAUCUUAAUAUAACCAAUACAAUAUCUUUGUUAUUUGUAAAUAGAGAGAUAUGGAGAAACUUACUAUCUGCAGGGAAUUCUCCACCUUGAACACUGCACUGGGUUGAAUCUACAUUUAUCCUUGUUAAAUUUUCUCUCUCUCUCUCUCUUUUUUUUUAACUCUACCUUCUGUGUUAGAAUUAAUACUAAAUACUGGUUCCAAGGGAGGAGGGCACUGAGGGCUAGGUAACUGGGGUUAAGUGACUUGCCUAGGGUCAUACAUCUAGGAAGUGUCUGAGGCCAAACUGAACCCAGGACCUCCCAUUUCUAGGCCUGGCUCUCUAUCCACUGAGUCACCUAGUUGCCCCUACAUUUCAUCUCAUUAAAGCCUCACAUUAAGUUAAAAUCAACUCCCUAAAUAUCAGACAGGGAAGAUAUAACUAGUUUGCAGUUUAUUAAAAAUAGAUCUUGGGGCUUCAAUGAACUAAAGGCUUCCUAGAAAUCAGCAGGGUGAUAUGACAACCAAGAUAUUCCAUGUGGAUGUACACCGAACUGAGAGGAAAAUGUGUUAGAGAGAGAGAGAGAGACCCAGACACAGAGAAAAAGAAAAUGAGAGAGGAGAGACUGAGAGAGAAAAAGAAAAUGAGAGGGAGAGAGACAGAGACACAGAAGCACAGAGAGAGAAAGAAAAUGAGAGAGGAGAGAGAGAGAGAAAAAGAAAAUGAGAGAGGGAGAGAGACAGACACAGAAGCACAGAGAGAGAAAGAAAAUGAGAGAGGAGAGACAGAGACAGAGAAAAAGAAUGAGAGAGGGAGAGAGACAGAGACACAGAGAAAGAAAAUGAGAGAGGGAGAAAGACACAGAGACAGAGAAAAAGAAAGUGAGAGGGAGAGAGACAGAGACACAGAAGCACAGAGAAAGAAAAUGAGAGAGAGGGAGAGAGACACAGAGACAGAGAAAAAGAAAAUGAGAGAGGGAGAGAGAGACACACACAGACACAGAGAUAGAGGCACAGUGGGAGAGUGA
RNAcentral lists this long non-coding RNA (1422 nucleotides) under Monodelphis domestica (gray short-tailed opossum). RNAcentral's name for it is "lncRNA (ENSMODG00000046966.1)". The record is from RNAcentral. Lineage: Eukaryota; Metazoa; Chordata; Mammalia; Didelphimorphia; Didelphidae.